Molecule: non-coding RNA, 1076 nt
Organism: Peromyscus maniculatus bairdii (prairie deer mouse)
Lineage: Eukaryota; Metazoa; Chordata; Mammalia; Rodentia; Cricetidae
Source: RefSeq, a predicted model, not a curated record
UGUUAUAUUAAUUACCACAGGCAAUCAAAAAUGAGAUAAAAGGAAGGAAAUGAUCAAUCUAUUGAUUUUUGUUGUUAGGACCUUUUUUUUUUGGUUAUUGUUUAUGGCUUUAGACCUGCAGGUCUAAAUCUUUGCUUGAGCCCCAUUUUAGAGAGAUUUCAUUCAAUUAUUUGAAGGUGGGCUUUACGUGUAGAUUUUUUUUUUCUUUUUCAGAGCACUGAUUCACCUCUUCUAUUCCUGGACUGUGCAGACAGGGUGAUGCCUAUUAAAAUCCAGAGGCAGAGGCUGAGAAGCGCAGCCUGUAACAUCGGGGUGUGUGAUUCGGGUUGGAGAGAGAGGUUCAAGCCGGGAGCAGAUUUUCUUGGAAAUUUCUCAAGAGAGAAGUAGAACAGAGGGAAAUUAUUUGGCCACCCUUAUGUGGACUUUGGUGGAAGUUGUGGGGCAACAUCAGCCGGUCUACAUCGUGAUGGGGGUGUUUCAGCACACCAGGCUUCCCGGGAUCGAUUCCCGGCACCUUGCUAUGAACGGCACAGCUCUUGCGGUUGGGCAGCUUGACAUAGAGCUUGGAAAGCACAUACGCAUUGAAGACACUUGCUUCGGUAUUGUGCCCGAUGGCAGGGCCUCUACAGUGUUCUGAAUAAUGAACUUCUUCGUGGCUUUGUCCCGGCAUGCACCAGGUGCAGUUUGUGCAGCAAUUGGCUGCACAUGGCUAAGCUCCUCCUUUGUCAUGUUUCUCCUGUUUUUGAUCAUCUUGGAGUCAAGAUCUGAAAGAGCAGCACCGACUUCUUGGGGAACUCAUGCUAACCUUCCCAUCUUCUAUAAGUUUCUGCCUUCACAUGACAUCCAUUUCUUCUCUAGCUCAGAUGUUCUUAACCCCGAAGCACAUUAGACUCUCCAGUCCCACUGAAUCAGUCUUACAAGGGAAGGGCAGUAAUUGAAUCAUUCUGUUACUGCUGGAACUUACUUAAAUACAACAAAUGGAAAAGGAAAUACGGACUCCAGAGUUUUACUGGUAAUACAUUUAAAUCAGAACUGCUUGGAUGAAGCCCACGAGGUCACAGUUUCAAAAUGUUCUA